Molecule: long non-coding RNA, 477 nt
Filed under: Androctonus crassicauda
Lineage: Eukaryota; Metazoa; Arthropoda; Arachnida; Scorpiones; Buthidae
Source: RNAcentral
GUGAUUCGAGUUACGAGUUCCAUCACAGAACAAAUUAAACUCGUAAGUCAAGGUACCACUGUACAAAAUGGCAUCUUUUAGAGUUCUUUUCCAUAGGCUACAUACACAUUGUAUGAAGCAAAAGGAUAAAGAAAGAGAGAGUAAGCUAUAUAAUCACUCAAGAGCAGAAAUAUUAUUAUAAAUAUAAGACUAUGAAGGCUGUAUUUAAUAACUUCAUUAAAUCAAUGACAAUUCCUCAUGUGACAUCAAUACUGCAGGAUAGUAGUCAACCCAGCCAACAUCAACGGACGUACCCUCUUAUACAUGAUCCAAUAGUGGACAGGACUGUAAGAAAAAUUGCCAAGAGCAAUCUAUGCAGGCACAUUUAUAAAAGAAUGUCUACCGUUUUUUUCAAAUUUACGAAAUGAUAAAGACCAACUGAGCAGCAUGUGGAAGUCAGGAGUAUAUUUAGUCUUAGUAUAUAACAACAGUAUAAUG